GAUCAUGGCUCAGGAUGAACGCUAGCUACAGGCUUAACACAUGCAAGUCGAGGGGCAGCAUGGACCCAGCUUUGCUGGGUUUGAUGGCGACCGGCGCACGGGUGAGUAACGCGUAUCCAACCUGCCCUUUACUCCGGGAUAGUCUCCUGAAAGGGAGUUUAAUACCGGAUGUGUUGUCUUUCCGUCCAUGGGAGGCGACAAAUAAAAGAAUUAAUUAGGUUAAAGGAAGUGGGAGUGCGUCCCACCUAGCUUGUUGGG
Molecule: ribosomal RNA, 258 nt
Filed under: uncultured bacterium
Lineage: Bacteria
Description: partial 16S ribosomal RNA
Rfam family: Bacterial small subunit ribosomal RNA
Source: RNAcentral